CUACGGAGGGAGCAAGCGUUGUUCGGAAUCACUGGGCGUAAAGCGAGUGUAGGUUGUCAGGUAAGUAGGAUGUGAAAGCCCGGGGCUCAACCCCGGAAUUGCAUUCUAAACUGCCUGGCUAGAGUCCCGGAGAGGGAGGUGGAAUUCCGAGUGUAGAGGUGAAAUUCGUAGAUAUUCGGAGGAACACCAGAGGCGAAGGCGACCUCCUGGACGGUGACUGACACUGAGACUCGAAAGCGUGGGGAGCAAACAGGAGUAGAAACCCCGGUAGUCC
This 274-nucleotide ribosomal RNA is filed under the name uncultured bacterium. RNAcentral's name for it is "partial 16S ribosomal RNA". It matches the Rfam family "Bacterial small subunit ribosomal RNA", at positions 523 to 796 of the family's 1533-position model. The record is from RNAcentral.